Eriocheir sinensis (Chinese mitten crab) is the source of this 999-nucleotide long non-coding RNA. RefSeq lists it as uncharacterized. NCBI's taxonomy places the organism in Eukaryota, Metazoa, Arthropoda, Malacostraca, Decapoda, Varunidae. The record is from RefSeq and is a predicted model, not a curated record. The transcript has 6 exons.
CACUGAAAUAUCGGGGCAUUCGACAAGGUGUGGCACAGGUGUUUGCUAUCUGAACUUCCCUCCUAUGGUCUCUGUAAGGUUAGUGUUAGGUUAGGUUAGGUUAAAAGAUGGAAGUUUUGCUGUUACCACGGACAUAUCGGGGCAUUCGACAAGGUGUGGCACAGGUGUUUGCUAUCUGAACUUCCCUCCUAUGGUCUCUGUAAGGCUAGUGUUAGGUUAGGUUAGGUUAAAAGAUGGAAGUUUUGUUGUUGCCACUGAAAUAUCGGAGCAUUCGACAAGGUGUGGCACAGGUGUUUGCUAUCCGAACUUCCGUCCUAUGGUCUCUGUAAGGUUAGUGUUAGGUUAGGUUAGGUUAAAAGAUGGAAGUUUUGUUGUUGCCACUGAAAUAUCGGAGCAUUCGACAAGGUGUGGCACAGGUGUUUGCUAUCUGAACUUCCCUCCUAUGGUCUCUGUAAGGCUAGUGUUAGGUUAGGUUAGGUUAAAAGAUGGAAGUUUUGUUGUUGCCACUGAAAUAUCGGGGCAUUCGACAAGGUGUGGCACAGGUGUUUGCUAUCCCAACUUCCCUCCUAUGGUCUCUGUAAGGUUAGUGUUAGGUUAGGUUAAGUUAAAAGAUGGAAGUUUUGUUGUUGCCACUGAAAUAUCGGGGCAUUCGACAAGGUGUGGCACAGGUGUUUGCUAUCCGAACUUCCCUCCUAUGGUCUCUGUAAGGUUAGUGUUAGGUUAGGUUAGGUUAAAAGAUGGAAGUUUUGCUGUUGCCAUGGACAUAUCGGAGCAUUCGACAAGGUGUGGCACAGGUGUUUGCUAUCUGAACUUCCCUCCUAUGGUCUCUGUAAGGCUAGUGUUAGGUUAGGUUAGGUUAAAAGAUGGAAGUUUUGUUGUUGCCACUGAAAUAUCGGGGCAUUCGACAAGGUGUGGCACAGGUGUUUGCUAUCCGAACUUCCCUCCUCCCUCCAUAACUCUUCCCUUCUACCCCACACACACACACAGACCCACCCUUCC